GCCUCCCCUCACUAGCACCACUGACUCCCUCCUUGCUGCGCGCCCGAGCCACUUCAGCCGUGCUGACCACCGAUGCUAGCAGAGCAUGCCGUGGCGAUGGCAGCAUCGCCCAAGCCAGAGACACGCGUGAGAUUCCCCCUAGAUUAGCUCGAGCUCAUCCACAAGCUCGACUGCUAGCGCCUGGUCCCCGCCAGUCGACCGCCACGUCGCCCGUGCAGUAGUCGUAGUUCUUAUCCACUGCCGCCAGGAAGCGAUGUCGCCCGCGCUAUAAAUAGGACCCCAAGCUCGCCCAGACCCUCCGAAUCAUAAAUCCUACCGCUCUCAAGCUACCCUAGCAACCAAUCAACCGGGGGAGGCCAUCUUCCUCAUCUCCGGUCAGAGUUCGGCCGCUGCCUCCCUAGUGAAAUUCGAGGCCAGCAGGAUUAAUCUUGCGCCCUUCUCCCCUUUAGUUGAACCACCCUCACCCCAUCAAGCCAUCCCAUCACUCAUACAUGAUUGGGAUCCACUGUAGGUCGAAUCCGCAUUACUCCCGCAAUAGCCGUUCGCCUCGGCGCUCGCCACCGGCGACCCUCUCCGUCUUCGCGGCCCUUUCGACCUCCAAGAGGACCAGUAGCUUGCGGGGAUCCCAUUCCCGCCAUCGGAAGAAACCCAGAAGUCGCCAAUCGCUGGCGACGACCGCUGGAACCCCGCCACCGCCCGGCCAGAGGAGGAAGAAGGCGCACGCGACUGGUCAAACCUGAUCAGUGGGCCCAAUUGACAGUCUGUUAGUGACUCGCGAGCCACGCGUGUGUUGGAUAAAAUGGACACGCCUUCUGUGAAGCCAGAUUGCACAUUUGGAGAAGAGCAUCCUCACGAUUGCCCCCGAAUCUAGGCACUGAAGACAGCAGCCGUGUGAGAUAGGAAUUAUUCAACUCAGCUGUUCUGGUGGGAAAUGGAGUCGCAUAGAUGCUGGAGAUCCCGGGACCGCUUCUUCCAUCAACCAGUAGAAACAUUUUUAUGUACUCCAUAGGCCAUCUUGGUCUUGUAAUUCAAACUUGUAAUUUUCUUGGACAUUGUAUCAAGGUUUUAUGUACCAUCUAACAGUAUUCCUUGGGCCGGUA
Hordeum vulgare subsp. vulgare (domesticated barley) is the source of this 1100-nucleotide long non-coding RNA. RefSeq lists it as uncharacterized. The record is from RefSeq and is a predicted model, not a curated record. The transcript is spliced from 2 exons. Lineage: Eukaryota; Viridiplantae; Streptophyta; Magnoliopsida; Poales; Poaceae.